AUUGAACGCUGGCGGCAGGCCUAACACAUGCAAGUCGAACGGUAACAGGAAGAAGCUUGCUUCUUUGCUGACGAGUGGCGGACGGGUGAGUAAUGUCUGGGAAACUGCCUGAUGGAGGGGGAUAACUACUGGAAACGGUAGCUAAUACCGCAUAACGCCGCAAGACCAAAGAAGGGGACCUUCGGGCCUCUUGCCAUCGGAUGUGCCCAGAUGGGAUUAGCUAGUAGGUGGGGUAACGGCUCACCUAGGCGACGAUCCCUAGCUGGUCUGAGAGGAUGACCAGCCACACUGGAACUGAGACACGGCCCAGACUCCUACGGGAGGCAGCAGUGGGGAAUAUUGCACAAUGGGCGCAAGCCUGAUGCAGCCAUGCCGCGUGUAUGAAGAAGGCCUUCGGGUUGUAAAGUACUUUCAGCGGGGAGGAAGGGAGUAAAGUUAAUACCUUUGCUCAUUGACGUUACCCGCAGAAGAAGCACCGGCUAACUCCGUG
This 490-nucleotide ribosomal RNA is filed under the name uncultured bacterium. RNAcentral's name for it is "partial 16S ribosomal RNA". It matches the Rfam family "Bacterial small subunit ribosomal RNA", at positions 30 to 507 of the family's 1533-position model. The record is from RNAcentral.